RNAcentral lists this long non-coding RNA (223 nucleotides) under Numida meleagris (helmeted guineafowl). Its description in RNAcentral is "lncRNA (ENSNMEG00000020996.1)". The record is from RNAcentral. Lineage: Eukaryota; Metazoa; Chordata; Aves; Galliformes; Numididae.
UGGACAUUCACUGCUGUCUGGAACAGGACAAGGAGCCAUCCUGCCUUAUUUCAUCAGCUUGGCACAGCUACCACUGGUGCAAGAUCACAAAUGAUGAAACACCAUCCCUCAUUCCGAAGAGCAAAGAAACAAUAAUAUGACAAUCCACAGUUAAGGCUGGUGGUGGUGACAUAUGUGCCUUCACAGACACAAGAAUUAAUGAAGCGCUGAGAAAUUUCAGAGA